Molecule: ribosomal RNA, 677 nt
Filed under: Halomonas sp. AL4
Lineage: Bacteria; Pseudomonadati; Pseudomonadota; Gammaproteobacteria; Oceanospirillales; Halomonadaceae
Description: bacterial SSU rRNA
Rfam family: Bacterial small subunit ribosomal RNA
Source: RNAcentral
GCUAGAUGCUGACGAGCGGCGGACGGGUGAGUAAUGCAUAGGAAUCUACCCGGUAGUGGGGGAUAACCUGGGGAAACCCAGGCUAAUACCGCAUACGUCCUACGGGAGAAAGGGGGCUCCGGCUCCCGCUAUCGGAUGAGCCUAUGUCGGAUUAGCUAGUUGGUGAGGUAAUGGCUCACCAAGGCAACGAUCCGUAGCUGGUCUGAGAGGAUGAUCAGCCACAUCGGGACUGAGACACGGCCCGAACUCCUACGGGAGGCAGCAGUGGGGAAUAUUGGACAAUGGGGGGAACCCUGAUCCAGCCAUGCCGCGUGUGUGAAGAAGGCCUUCGGGUUGUAAAGCACUUUCAGCGAGGAAGAACGCCUAGUGGUUAAUACCCAUUAGGAAAGACAUCACUCGCAGAAGAAGCACCGGCUAACUCCGUGCCAGCAGCCGCGGUAAUACGGAGGGUGCAAGCGUUAAUCGGAAUUACUGGGCGUAAAGCGCGCGUAGGUGGCUUGAUAAGCCGGUUGUGAAAGCCCCGGGCUCAACCUGGGAACGGCAUCCGGAACUGUCAAGCUAGAGUGCAGGAGAGGAAGGUAGAAUUCCCGGUGUAGCGGUGAAAUGCGUAGAGAUCGGGAGGAAUACCAGUGGCGAAGGCGGCCUUCUGGACUGACACUGACACUGAGGUGCGAAAG